AGGAGCCACUGGGAUUUGAACCCAGGACCUGAGGAUCUGCAAUCCUCCGCUCUGCCACUGAGCUAUAACGCC
This 72-nucleotide transfer RNA is filed under the name Polymyxa betae. RNAcentral's name for it is "tRNA-Cys". The record is from RNAcentral. Lineage: Eukaryota; Endomyxa; Phytomyxea; Plasmodiophorida; Plasmodiophoridae.